Molecule: long non-coding RNA, 154 nt
Organism: Bufo bufo (common toad)
Lineage: Eukaryota; Metazoa; Chordata; Amphibia; Anura; Bufonidae
Exons: 3
Source: RefSeq, a predicted model, not a curated record
UGUGCAUCCUACUGUCACUUUUACUUUGUGCUAGUCAUCUAAUAACCAUUUUCUCUAAAUUGCUAAGAGGUCAUAAACACUUAUUUAAGUCACAUUCUUAUCAGUAAGAUAAUGAUUGAGCUUUGAUGAGUGUUUAUAAUGUCAGAGAUAAGGA